This 253-nucleotide ribosomal RNA is filed under the name uncultured prokaryote. RNAcentral describes it as "partial 16S ribosomal RNA". It matches the Rfam family "Bacterial small subunit ribosomal RNA", at positions 525 to 777 of the family's 1533-position model. The record is from RNAcentral.
ACGAGGGAUCCUAGCGUUGUUCGGAAUCAUUGGGCGUAAAGCGGGUGCAGGUGGCUUUGUAAGUCAGGUGUGAAAUCCCAGGGCUCAACCCUGGAAGUGCAUUUGAUACUGCGAAGCUUGAGUGUGGGAGAGGUGAGUAGAAUUCCAGGUGUAGUGGUGAAAUACGUAGAUAUCUGGAGGAAUACCGGAGGCGAAGGCGGCUCACUGGCCCAACACUGACACUCAGACCCGAAAGCGUGGGGAUCAAACAGGA